UACAGAGGUGGCAAGCGUUGUUCGGAAUUACUGGGCGUAAAGGGCGCGUAGGCGGCCUCGCAAGUCCCGUGUGAAAUCCCUCGGCUCAACUGAGGAAUGGCACGGGAAACUGCGGGGCUUGAGUUCGGGAGAGGGAAGCGGAAUUCCGGGUGUAGCGGUGAAAUGCGUAGAUAUCGUAAGGAAGACCAGUGGCGAAGGCGGGUCUCUGGACAGUUCCUGACGCUGAGGCACGAAGGCCAGGGGAGCAAACGGG
RNAcentral lists this ribosomal RNA (253 nucleotides) under uncultured bacterium. Its description in RNAcentral is "partial 16S ribosomal RNA". It matches the Rfam family "Bacterial small subunit ribosomal RNA", at positions 524 to 776 of the family's 1533-position model. The record is from RNAcentral.